Molecule: ribosomal RNA, 433 nt
Filed under: uncultured bacterium
Lineage: Bacteria
Description: partial 16S ribosomal RNA
Rfam family: Bacterial small subunit ribosomal RNA
Source: RNAcentral
AACGAACGCUGGCGGCAUGCCUAACACAUGCAAGUCGAACGAGACCUUCGGGUCUAGUGGCGCACGGGUGGGUAACGCGUGGGAACCUGCCCUUAGGUUCGGAAUAAAUCCCCGAAAGGGGUGCUAAUACCGGAUAAUGUCUUCGGACCAAAGAUUUAUCGCCUUUGGAUGGGCGCGCGUUGGAUUAGCUAGUUGGUAGGGUAAAAGCCUAUCAAGGCGAGGUUCCAUAGCUGGUCUGAGAGAAUGAUCAGCGACACUGGGGCUGAGACACGGCCCAGACUCUUACGGAAUGCAGCAGUGGGUGAUACAGGAAAAUGGGCUAAGGCCAGAUCCAGCAAUGCCGCGUAAGUGAUGAAGGUCGUAGGGUUGUAAAGCUCUUUUAUCCGGGAUGAUAAUGACAGUACCGGGAGAAUAAGCACCGGCUAACUCCGUG